RNAcentral lists this ribosomal RNA (253 nucleotides) under uncultured bacterium. RNAcentral's name for it is "partial 16S ribosomal RNA". It matches the Rfam family "Bacterial small subunit ribosomal RNA", at positions 524 to 776 of the family's 1533-position model. The record is from RNAcentral.
UACGUAGGGGGCAAGCGUUAUCCGGAUUUACUGGGUGUAAAGGGAGCGUAGACGGCAUGGCAAGUCAGAUGUGAAAGCCCGGGGCUCAACCCCGGGACUGCAUUUGAAACUGUCAGGCUGGAGUGCAGGAGAGGUAAGCGGAAUUCCUAGUGUAGCGGUGAAAUGCGUAGAUAUUAGGAGGAGCACCAGUGGCGAAGGCGGCUUACUGGACUGUAACUGACGUUGAGGCUCGAAAGCGUGGGGAGCAAACAGG